Long non-coding RNA from Columba livia (rock pigeon), 1271 nucleotides. RefSeq lists it as uncharacterized. The transcript is spliced from 2 exons. NCBI's taxonomy places the organism in Eukaryota, Metazoa, Chordata, Aves, Columbiformes, Columbidae. The record is from RefSeq and is a predicted model, not a curated record.
CAACUGAUUAACAAUAUCUGUCUGGCCAAAACGAAAGAAGCCUAAACCAGGUUGUGCUGUGUAGGAUCGGUUCAGCAAGGCUGAACUGCCUCAAGAAAAGCUGAGGGGGAAGGUGCACCAGUAUGUGUGGGUCUGCUCGUUACCUAUGUAACCUGAGAAGCCUUCGCAAGUGAUGUAUCACCAGGAAGGGCUGCAAUCACUAAGUUGCUCAUGUAAAACAUAAGAGGGCACCAAACGCCCGCUGAUGCUUGGCAUACUCAGUGUAGCUUUACACUGGCAAUUGUAAACAGCUGGUAAUUUCGCAACAUUUGGAUUAAGUCAACAAAGAUAAUGAAUAACUGCAGACUGCCUUUCUCUUUUCAAAAUAGAUUUCUUUAAACAUAAGCAGAUAAUUGUAUUACAAUCGUUUUGGGUUAUUACUACUGGAUUUAUAUCCAUUUUUAAUUUUUUGUUGUAUUUAAUAGGAAAAAAAUAAUCAGUAAUUCAGUGUCCUGAGACAACUGGGUAUGGUGAAUUGAUUCUUCUAGUCCUUAUGUCAUUGAUUCAAUGGAAUUACUCCUGACAUGUUGCUUUGGAAACACAAUAAUUUAUAAUAGUAUAAUUGUAGCAGCAUAAUUAUACUAAGAAAGCAAUGCCACUGUGUUUCCCUACAGAGGAGACCCUGAGUGAGAUUAGACCUAAGCUUACUGGAUCUCAUUGACCAGUUUCAUUCUACCCCUCCUUCUUCAGCCCUUGCGUGAACACCUUGCUCCAAUUUUAUAUUAUUAUUUUAUACUACUUUUUUGGGGGGAUUGCAUCUGCAAAAACUGUAUUUGCCAGCAGUUGCCAUAAAAAAGUUUGAGCACAGGCAGCUUCCUUUCUUCAGCUAAGGGAUUCAAAAUAUUUGAGUCUUUCACUGUAUGUAAAGCAUCAAGGUCAUGUUGCUUACAUGAAAUUUGAAAGUAGGAGCAUAUUAAUUUAUGCACACAGGAUGAUUUGUUACUGCAGUAAAGCCAAAGUAACACUCAUACAAAUGGGAUAUUGAAUAGACAUACUUUAUUAUAAGAUCACAUGUUUUGAGGCUGAGGAAACCAAAUAUGAUUAUAUAACUGGACCUGCACAACAAAGGUAAAAAUCUUUGCCCAGUUCCAUCAGGAAUAAGCUUAUUAAUUCUGUGUAAGCUAUGAUGGGAUCUCUUACAAACAAAUUAAGACUUGAGAAAUCUCUUGAAUAACUAAGGUCUAUAUAUUUUAAUCCUUCCUAGUAGUCAAUAAACAUUAUUAUAAAGGAAA